CCUACGGGUGGCAGCAGUGGGGAAUAUUGCGCAAUGGGCGAACGCCUGACGCAGCGACGCCGCGUGAGGGAUGAAGUUCUUCGGAUCGUAAACCUCUGUCAGCAGGGAAGAACGGUCACUGUGCUAAUCAGCAGUGAAUUGACGGUACCUGCAAAGGAAGCACCGGCUAACUCCGUGCAGGCUGCCGCGGUAAUAAGGAGGUUGCGAGCGUUAUACGGAUUUACUGGGCGUAAAGCUCUCGUAGGCGGUAUGUCAAGUCAAGUGUGAAAUCCCGGCGCUCAACGUGGGAACUGCAUUUGAUACUGGCAGACUGGAGUGUGGGAGAGGAUAGUGGAAGUCCAGGGGUAGGAGUGAAAGCCGUAGAUAUCUGGAGGAACAUCAGUGGCGAAGGCGACUAUCUAGCACAUAACUGACGCUGAGGAGCGAAAGCGUGGGUAGCAAACAGGAUUAGAUACCCGAGUAGUC
This 465-nucleotide ribosomal RNA is filed under the name uncultured bacterium. Its description in RNAcentral is "partial 16S ribosomal RNA". It matches the Rfam family "Bacterial small subunit ribosomal RNA", at positions 338 to 795 of the family's 1533-position model. The record is from RNAcentral.